RNAcentral lists this ribosomal RNA (77 nucleotides) under Halalkalibacter oceani. RNAcentral's name for it is "Bacterial small subunit ribosomal RNA". It matches the Rfam family "Bacterial small subunit ribosomal RNA", at positions 1 to 77 of the family's 1533-position model. The record is from Rfam by way of RNAcentral. Lineage: Bacteria; Bacillati; Bacillota; Bacilli; Caryophanales; Bacillaceae.
UUUAUGGAGAGUUUGAUCCUGGCUCAGGACGAACGCUGGCGGCGUGCCUAAUACAUGCAAGUCGAGCGGAUGAACCU